This 301-nucleotide ribosomal RNA is filed under the name uncultured bacterium. RNAcentral describes it as "partial 16S ribosomal RNA". It matches the Rfam family "Bacterial small subunit ribosomal RNA", at positions 509 to 810 of the family's 1533-position model. The record is from RNAcentral.
CAGUGCCGCGGUAAUACGAAGGGUGCAAGCGUUACUCGGAAUUACUGGGCGUAAAGCGUGCGUAGGUGGUGGUUUAAGUCCGUUGUGAAAGCCCUGGGCUCAACCUGGGAAUUGCAGUGGAUACUGGGUCACUAGAGUGUGGUAGAGGAUAGUGGAAUUUCCGGUGUAGCAGUGAAAUGCGUAGAGAUCGGAAGGAACAUCUGUGGCGAAGGCGACUAUCUGGGCCAACACUGACACUGAGGCACGAAAGCGUGGGGAGCAAACAGGAUUAGAUACCCGCGUAGUCCCUGUCUCUUAUUCA